This 201-nucleotide long non-coding RNA is filed under the name Amborella trichopoda. RNAcentral's name for it is "long non-coding RNA (ATRI_LNC004710)". The record is from RNAcentral. Lineage: Eukaryota; Viridiplantae; Streptophyta; Magnoliopsida; Amborellales; Amborellaceae.
CGGUCUUGUACAAAGUGAAAAUAAGAUUAGUUAAAAAACCAGUAAAAAACUAUGUUUGACUAAUUUUGUUGGAAGAUGUAACUUCGGUGCCAAAAACCAUACAGCGGCUUCAAAAGGGUUGGUAUUGCGUCCAUGUGGACGCUUGAAAGGUGCACAUGCACCUUUUAAUGGUUCAGAUUGAACCAUGCUCAUUCGAGGGCC